CGGGACACGUGGUAUCCUGUCUGAAUAUGGGGGGACCAUCCUCCAAGGCUAAAUACUCCUGACUGACCGAUAGUGAACCAGUACCGUGAGGGAAAGGCGAAAAGAACCCCGGCGAGGGGAGUGAAAAAGAACCUGAAACCGUGUACGUACAAGCAGUGGGAGCACGCUUAGGCGUGUGACUGCGUACCUUUUGUAUAAUGGGUCAGCGACUUAUAUUCUGUAGCAAGGUUAACCGAAUAGGGGAGCCGAAGGGAAACCGAGUCUUAACUGGGCGUUAAGUUGCAGGGUAUAGACCCGAAACCCGGUGAUCUAGCCAUGGGCAGGUUGAAGGUUGGGUAACACUAACUGGAGGACCGAACCGACUAAUGUUGAAAAAUUAGCGGAUGACUUGUGGCUGGGGGUGAAAGGCCAAUCAAACCGGGAGAUAGCUGGUUCUCCCCGAAAGCUAUUUAGGUAGCGCCUCGUGAAUUCAUCUCCGGGGGUAGAGCACUGUUUCGGCAAGGGGGUCAUCCCGACUUACCAACCCGAUGCAAACUGCGAAUACCGGAGAAUGUUAUCACGGGAGACACACGGCGGGUGCUAACGUCCGUCGUGAAGAGGGAAACAACCCAGACCGCCAGCUAAGGUCCCAAAGUCAUGGUUAAGUGGGAAACGAUGUGGGAAGGCCCAGACAGCCAGGAUGUUGGCUUAGAAGCAGCCAUCAUUUAAAGAAAGCGUAAUAGCUCACUGGUCGAGUCGGCCUGCGCGGAAGAUGUAACGGGGCUAAACCAUGCACCGAAGCUGCGGCAGCGACGCUUAUGCGUUGUUGGGUAGGGGAGCGUUCUGUAAGCCUGUGAAGGUGUGCUGUGAGGCAUGCUGGAGGUAUCAGAAGUGCGAAUGCUGACAUAAGUAACGAUAAAGCGGGUGAAAAGCCCGCUCGCCGGAAGACCAAGGGUUCCUGUCCAACGUUAAUCGGGGCAGGGUGAGUCGACCCCUAAGGCGAGGCCGAAAGGCGUAGUCGAUGGGAAACAGGUUAAUAUUCCUGUACUUGGUGUUACUGCGAAGGGGGGACGGAGAAGGCUAUGUUGGCCGGGCGACGGUUGUCCCGGUUUAAGCGUGUAGGCUGGUUUUCCAGGCAAAUCCGGAAAAUCAAGGCUGAGGCGUGAUGACGAGGCACUACGGUGCUGAAGCAACAAAUGCCCUGCUUCCAGGAAAAGCCUCUAAGCAUCAGGUAACAUCAAAUCGUACCCCAAACCGACACAGGUGGUCAGGUAGAGAAUACCAAGGCGCUUGAGAGAACUCGGGUGAAGGAACUAGGCAAAAUGGUGCCGUAACUUCGGGAGAAGGCACGCUGAUAUGUAGGUGAAGUCCCUCGCGGAUGGAGCUGAAAUCAGUCGAAGAUACCAGCUGGCUGCAACUGUUUAUUAAAAACACAGCACUGUGCAAACACGAAAGUGGACGUAUACGGUGUGACGCCUGCCCGGUGCCGGAAGGUUAAUU
Molecule: ribosomal RNA, 1479 nt
Filed under: Escherichia coli
Lineage: Bacteria; Pseudomonadati; Pseudomonadota; Gammaproteobacteria; Enterobacterales; Enterobacteriaceae
Description: partial 23S ribosomal RNA
Rfam family: Bacterial large subunit ribosomal RNA
Source: RNAcentral